CCAUCUUUCUCCCUCUCCUCUAUUUCCAUAUACGAAUUUAAGUUCCAGAACUUAAAUUCGUAUAUGGAAAUAGAGGAGAGGGAGAAAGUUGG
RNAcentral lists this microRNA precursor (92 nucleotides) under Pelobates cultripes (western spadefoot toad). Lineage: Eukaryota; Metazoa; Chordata; Amphibia; Anura; Pelobatidae. The record is from RNAcentral.